RNAcentral lists this ribosomal RNA (500 nucleotides) under uncultured bacterium. Its description in RNAcentral is "partial 16S ribosomal RNA". It matches the Rfam family "Bacterial small subunit ribosomal RNA", at positions 30 to 523 of the family's 1533-position model. The record is from RNAcentral.
ACUGAACGCUGGCGGCAUGCCUUACACAUGCAAGUCGAAUGGCAGCACGGGAGCAAUCCUGGUGGCGAGUGGCGAACGGGUGAGUAAUAUAUCGGAACGUGCCCAGUCGUGGGGGAUAACGUAGCGAAAGCUACGCUAAUACCGCAUACGAUCUAUGGAUGAAAGCGGGGGAUCGCAAGAGCUCGCGCGAUUGGACCGGCCGAUAUCAGAUUAGGUAGUUGGUGAGGUAAAGGCUCACCAAGCCGACGAUCUGUAGCUGGUCUGAGAGGACGACCAGCCACACUGGGACUGAGACACGGCCCAGACGCCUACGGGAGGCAGCAGUGGGGAAUUUUGGACAAUGGGCGCAAGCCUGAUCCAGCAAUGCCGCGUGCAGGAUGAAGGCCUUCGGGUUGUAAACUGCUUUUGUACGGAACGAAACGGCGAGCUCUAAUACAGUUUGCUAAUGACGGUACCGUAAGAAUAAGCACCGGCUAACUACGUGCCAGCCGCCGCCGUAA